RNAcentral lists this long non-coding RNA (1370 nucleotides) under Piliocolobus tephrosceles (Ugandan red Colobus). Its description in RNAcentral is "lncRNA (ENSPTEG00000025900.1)". Lineage: Eukaryota; Metazoa; Chordata; Mammalia; Primates; Cercopithecidae. The record is from RNAcentral.
CACACCCCCUCUCCCAGGCCGCAGCAUAGCAACCGAACAUGGCGGCUGCGCAGGCGCCGCCAGUCAGCGGCCGGGAGCGGCGGCGGCAGCAACAGGAGGCGAUCUCGCGAGAAGCGAGGCUAAAACCCUGCCCCGCCAGCGCAGGGAGGAGAAGUCGCACCAGUCGGAGAGCGGAGGGACACGCAGCCUGCCCUUGACUGUGCUUUGGGAGAAUAAGAGCAAAGGUUGUAUCCACACUUGGAGGAUGUCGGCAGGCGAGGACUGGCCGUUUUGCACUGUGUGGUCAAUGGUAGGACCUCUCUUAACCCUGGGUAGCUACAGCCAGAAGGGAACAGGCAUUUGUUCUUGCCUGUAUGGGCCUUGGCAGUGACCCCAGGCAGCAGCAGUGGAGAAGCAGCUUUGACUAGGCACUGUGGCUGACUCACCAGCACCCACUAUCAGUAACUGGAGAAGACCCCUUUGGAAGAAAUGAGUAACAGUGGGAUCACUGGGGAUAUCUAGAGAGAAGAACCUCAAGGGAAGGUUGGACUCUACUCGCUAGGUAGAGCUCAGAGUGGUAUGAAUUUUAACUUCCAAAAGCACAUGACUUAAACUGACUUGAUUUUGUUGUCUACGCUGGUGAGGCGGGACAUACAAGGUGUACAGGCUUUCAGUCAAAUGUGAGUCCUGUCUAACCUGGCCCCCAACAGGAGACCUUGGUUAGGUACCUGUCUGCCUUAGCUAGUCAAUUAAGGGAGAAUUUCAUCAUUUUUCCCUGCCUGGAAUCUUCAUGCAUAACUUAAAAGCAAAAACAAGCAAAUUUAAAGAAUUGAAACCUUUAAAGAGGUGGCACAUGUUUCCAGUAAGUUCAGGAUUCUGUGGCUUGGGCUUCCUUUAAUCACAGAGCUGUGUUAAAUAUACUUAAAACAUUAAAAAUCCUAUACCAUAUACCUCGGAGGCAGUUGGCCCAGAUUUGUCACCAUGUCAGCAUGGCUCUCUCCCUCUUCAUUUUCAGCAAUUCUUUCCUUUUUUCCCUAUAUUGCUGAAUAGCAGCAGAAGACCUGUUAGCAAUCCUGGUAUCAGGAACUCUACAAAAAAAGUGUAAAAUUUCAAAAAUCUAAGACUGCCUCCUACUCUCAGUCCCACUCUCAAAAGGUAGGCACUAUUGACAGUUCUUGCGUACCCUUCCAGAAUUUUCUCUGAAUGUAUAAGCUAAAUCUAUAUCUCUUUUCCCUGCACACAAGGGAUCAUACCGUGUUUCACUUACAAAUGUGUGUGGAAAUCAUUCCUUAACAAAACAUAUGGAUACAUGUCAUUCUAAGGGCUGAGCCAUAAUGUGUUUAACUUUCUCUAAUUAAUGGGCAUCGGACUGUUUCUAGUAAUUUACUGUU